Molecule: unclassified non-coding RNA, 403 nt
Filed under: uncultured Vermispora
Lineage: Eukaryota; Fungi; Ascomycota; Orbiliomycetes; Orbiliales; Orbiliaceae
Description: sequence contains ITS2
Rfam family: 5.8S ribosomal RNA (bases 1-154)
Source: RNAcentral
AACUUUUGACAACGGAUCACUUGGUUCCCGCAUCGAUGAAGAACGCAGCGAAACGCGAUAGGUAAUGUGAAUUGCAGAACUCCGUGAAUCAUCGAAUCUUUGAACGCACAUUGCGCCUGCUGGUAUUCCGGUAGGCAUGCCUGUUUGAGCGUCAGCAAAAACCUCUCAAUGAUAAUUUUUUAUUGUUGGUUAUGGGUGAAGAGCAUGGAUAUUAGCCGCUCUUCCCUUAAACUUGCUGCACGACCGUAAGCUUACGUUAGGUUAAUGGAGUGGUGUUUACAAUAUUCCAGCUGCCAGCGAAGCGAACGGCGUUAAACCUGAUGUUGCUCUUCUGCAACUGAAGUUUGACCUCAAAUCAGACAAGGAUACCCGCUGAACUUAAGCAUAUCAAUAAGCGGAGGCU